GAUGAACGCUGGCGGCGUGCCUAAUACAUGCAAGUCGAGCGAACGGACGAGAAGCUUGCUUCUCUGAUGUUAGCGGCGGACGGGUGAGUAACACGUGGAUAACCUACCUAUAAGACUGGGAUAACUUCGGGAAACCGGAGCUAAUACCGGAGAAUAUUUUGAACCGCAUGGUGCAAAAGUGAAAGACGGUCUUGCUGUCACUUAUAGAUGGAUCCGCGCUGCAUUAGCUAGUUGGUAAGGUAACGGCUUACCAAGGCAACGAUGCAUAGCCGACCUGAGAGGAUGAUCGGCCACACUGGAACUGAGACACGGUCCAGACUCCUACGGGAGGCAGCAGUAGGGAAUCUUCCGCAAUGGGCGAAAGCCUGACGGAGCCACGCCGCGUGAGUGAUGAAGGUCUUCGGAUCGUAAAGCUCUGUUAUUAGGGAAGAACAUCUGUGUAAGUAACUGUGCACAUCUUGACGGUACCUAAUCAGAAAGCCCCGGCUAACUACGUG
This 497-nucleotide ribosomal RNA is filed under the name uncultured bacterium. RNAcentral's name for it is "partial 16S ribosomal RNA". It matches the Rfam family "Bacterial small subunit ribosomal RNA", at positions 28 to 507 of the family's 1533-position model. The record is from RNAcentral.